CCAGAUGUGGAAAAAAAGCACAUUGUUAUUUUACCUGACUACAGUACUAGGACACAAAAAACUUCUGAACAUCCAAAUAUUCCAAAUCGGCUACAAGAUCCUGGUACAUCAGAGAAACGUGCUAUAAGAAAAAGAUUGGACAAUGAAGAAGAUAGUGACUCUCCUUGGGAUUCAGAGGAAUAUAUAUCGGACCCAGAUGUGGAAAAAAAGCACAUUGUUAUUUUACCUGACUACAGUACUAGGACACAAAAAACUUCUGAACAUCCAAAUAUUCCAAAUCGGCUACAAGAUCCUGGUACAUCAGAGAAACGUGCUAUAAGAAAAAGAGUGGACAAAGAAGAAGAUAGCGACUCUCCUUGGGAUUCAGAGGUAUUAUUUCAUUUUGAAAGUU
Molecule: long non-coding RNA, 391 nt
Organism: Sarcophilus harrisii (Tasmanian devil)
Lineage: Eukaryota; Metazoa; Chordata; Mammalia; Dasyuromorphia; Dasyuridae
Exons: 4
Source: RefSeq, a predicted model, not a curated record